This 465-nucleotide ribosomal RNA is filed under the name uncultured bacterium. Its description in RNAcentral is "partial 16S ribosomal RNA". It matches the Rfam family "Bacterial small subunit ribosomal RNA", at positions 28 to 507 of the family's 1533-position model. The record is from RNAcentral.
GACGAACGCUGGCGGCGUGCUUAACACAUGCGAGUCGAACGGAAAGGCCCUGCUUGCAGGGUACUCGAGUGGCGAACGGGUGAGUAACACGUGGGUGAUCUGCCCUGCACUUCGGGAUAAGCCUGGGAAACUGGGUCUAAUACCGGAUAGGAGCCAUUUUUAGUGUGAUGGUUGGAAAGUUUUUUCGGUGUAGGAUGAGCUCGCGGCCUAUCAGCUUGUUGGUGGGGUAAUGGCCUACCAAGGCGGCGACGGGUAGCCGGCCUGAGAGGGUGGACGGCCACAUUGGGACUGAGAUACGGCCCAGACUCCUACGGGAGGCAGCAGUGGGGAAUAUUGCACAAUGGGCGCAAGCCUGAUGCAGCGACGCCGCGUGGGGGAUGACGGCCUUCGGGUUGUAAACUCCUUUCGCUAGGGACGAAGCUUUUUGUGACGGUACCUAGAUAAGAAGCACCGGCUAACUACGUG